Molecule: long non-coding RNA, 2523 nt
Filed under: Musa acuminata (dwarf banana)
Lineage: Eukaryota; Viridiplantae; Streptophyta; Magnoliopsida; Zingiberales; Musaceae
Description: long non-coding RNA (MACU_LNC002570)
Source: RNAcentral
ACAAAAGGAAAAAACAUAUGGAGUUAAUCAAUAUGUGAAAGUACAUGAAAUCAAAUAGUAAUAUUUGAAAAUCAAAAUGACCUUAAAAUCUUCAUAAUGAGUGUUAACCAAGUCCAUGUCUUGAGGAGGCACUUUAGUUGAAAUUGCAGCAAACAACAUUGAAAAGGGCAUCCAUGGAGAGGUUGGAGUUCUUGGAGCUCGACCUGACGAUAAACCUCGAAGCUGAUUUGCAACAACUGGAGAUGGGUGGCUCUUAUCCUAUGGCACAAAGGAGGCAAGGCCAUCACUUAGUUCAAUAACAAUAGAAGAGCAAAAGUACUGCUUCAGAUUUAAAAAAAGAAUAGCACAAUAAUUAUGUAAUCCUAGGUCUUCUGUUGUGGAACCUAAACAUGGUUAACUGGAGAUCCUAAUAUGAAGACUGUUCAGCAUCAUCUUCAGAACUUUGCCAUGCAAUAAAAAAUUCUAGCAUGGAUUACAGAAUUUGAAGAAAUACAAACAGAAAACCCAUUUCAUCAUAAAUAUGCAAAAAAAAAAAAAUGAUAAGAUGGUCAGCCAUUACUAUAUAUCCAUCAAAAAACGGACUAGUUGGUAAUCUACUACAGCACAAGAAUCCUAAUAGCUAAGAUCUGGACUAUAAUUAAGUGUUCCAUGAAAUAUGGUCUAAAAAUAAUUAUAAUUUGUAAAACACACCUGAUAUAAGCUGCAAGGUGAAUUAGAAUUUGUUAAAGCAGACACAUAAGACAUACCACCAUCGCUAGCCAAACAUUCUGCAGUCACAAAUAAAGUACAGGCUUUGAAAUAAAGUUUGAACUCAUAUAAAGGAAUUUUUUUUUAAAAAAAUCAACCAGAUGCUCCGGCAAAAGUUACCUUUGGCAUUGGUAGGCAAAUUUAUAGUCACAAUAAAUUCUGCAUAGAUAUGAGUAUACAUAUUCAAAUCCCAUAUUAUAUAAUGCUUUGGAUUCUGAAGAUCAUCGACCCCACUGUCAAAGUUCUCAUGGCUGGCCUGAUGCUGGUUAGAUCCCAUGGGAAUUAGCUCCAUGUUUCCCAUAAUAACGCGGCACAGCAUCAUAUGGAUAAAACCAUUGUCGUCAACAUUAGAAUAGCGAGCACUGAAGACAAUAUAUGUAGAUUAGUGAUAUUUCUUCAUGGACGAUUAGCAAACAAAGAAUAGUGCAUGACCAAGAGGAACCAUCAAAUGCAAAUAAAGGGCUGUUUGCAGCCUUCUAGAACAAGAAUUAAGGAUCAUUCCAUAAUUGCCAGAAGACAAUCAUGAUAAAAUUGAUAUUGAACCUCACCAGACAUUUGAACAAUUUGCUGGUGCAAGAUGAAUGCCAUUGCCAAACAGAGGCUUCUGUUCAGGUAUCUUCAAAACCCCUUUCAACAUCAUCUCUUCGACAGCACCUUUGGAGGAAGCAAGCCAUGCAUAACGGACAUUUGCAUUGCCACGGAGUUUUUGGGUGACCACAACCUGCUCUUGAAAAAAGCCAAGUCGAUUCAAACCUAAGUCAUUUUCCACUGGAGUUUUGCAGAUUCCAAAAAUGUCCUUUGCAUCAAUAACUUUGCCCAAACUGUGAAGUAACAAAUGCUGCACAGCACUGAUUCGCUGGUCAUCAGCCGGCCUAACCUUUUCCUGCCAACUUCCUGAAGCAGAGACAUUUGGAGGGAGAAAUGAACACGGAUCAUUUUCUCCAACAGUUUCAUUGUCUUCAGCACAGGCAGAAUUUUCUUCACUCUUGAUCCUCUUGACAUUAAACAUAGCCUCGUCAUCGAGUCGUAAACUUGAGCUUUCAGCAGCACUAACAGAAAUCUUCAAAUGGGCUUCAACUUCACGUGUACCAUUUGGAUCACAAAUCAUGUGAACUUGUUUGCCUUUGCCAAAAUGAUAAUGUUCAGGACACACUUCUGGGAAGAAACAUUUCCCAUCUACAUCAAUCCAAGCAAUUGGUUUCUGUAAUCCUGUUUUCAAAUCUAUGUAAAUCAUGUGCAUAAAGUCUAACAAAAAUUGCUGAUUCUGAAUAUCUGCUUCAGUAAUUCCUUUCUUUAGACGAAAAUCUUCCUGGACCAAACUGAUGAUAUUCUCAGGAAAAUCUCUCCAUUCACCAUCCUCAAAAGAUAACACUCUGACCGGCAACCCACUUUUUGAAAAAUUGCGAUAUUUAUUAACAAUAUGGCUCUGAAAACUGCAGCUGAAGUUAGAUUUACAACUCAUCAUGUUGCAGCCCCUUAGAGAGGAUCUGUCUGUGAUAUGCGAAUGUGCUACUAGGCCAUGGCCACUAGUGAAAUAUGAAUCAGGUUCUCUCUUUCUCUUCAGACUGUGCAUAAUUCUUUCAUUUUUAUCCAAUACCUUUACGCUCAUAUCUUCCAUUUUUACCCAAGGAAGUGUCUGUUAACCACAGACUAAUUCUCUUCAAAGGGCUUGUCUCCACAAAAACAGCCAACCUCACUUAAGGACAAUCAAUAACUUCCCGUCGAGUUAUAGAUGGAAAAAUUCAUGUAACGGUAGACCGACAACAAGCAAGGAAA